GAGGACCGUAUUCAUGGAAGAGGAUUGAACAGACUACUGAGUUCUUAAGAGAAAAAUGGCACUUAAGAAAUUGAUGGUGAUAUCAAAGGAAGGUUACUUAUUACUCUUGGACUUUGAUGAUGAGGACGAUGACAUAAAAGUUUCAGAGGAGGCUCUUGCGGAAGAGAUGAAGUAGACAGUAUGUUGGAUAAAUCUGGAGUAAAGAACCCAGCAAUUGGUAAAGAUGAGAAUGUAUCGCCUCAAGUAAAAGGAGAUGAAGACAUGGGAGAUGAAAUUGACAGUAUGUUGGCUACAUCUGGAGGUCUUUUCUCCUGAGAACACGGGACUCCAGCAUCUUCGGAUUCUGCUCUUGGAGGUGUGAGUCCCUGCCUCUCUGCACAGGGGAACUUAUGUCUCUCCACAUGUCCGCAAAUGUCUACCCAAGAUUAUACAUCUUCCAAAGGCUUUCAAAUACUUCUUUACAUAAACAAGGGGUUUGCCCCACAUCCUCUAUAUUGCAGAAAACAAGACUAGGCUCUACCUCUGCAGAUCAAGCACGACUGAAAUCCGUGCUCUCAAAAGAUGCUGGGGAGAAAGAGUGCCAUUCUUCACAAAUGCUGGGCUGUGUUCACCUGCACACAUCGCUGCAUCAUUGGACUGAAAGUGAAUGGCCCAUGUGUUGCCACUGAUGUGAGCCAUUUGCCUGUUGUGCUUCAA
This 696-nucleotide non-coding RNA is filed under the name Mus musculus (house mouse). Lineage: Eukaryota; Metazoa; Chordata; Mammalia; Rodentia; Muridae. The record is from RNAcentral.